GACGAACGCUGGCGGCGUGCCUAAUACAUGCAAGUAGAACGCUGAAGGAGGAGCUUGCUCUUCUGGAUGAGUUGCGAACGGGUGAGUAACGCGUAGGUAACCUGCCUGGUAGCGGGGGAUAACUAUUGGAAACGAUAGCUAAUACCGCAUAAUAGUAGAUGUUGCAUGACAUUUGCUUAAAAGGUGCAAUUGCAUCACUACCAGAUGGACCUGCGUUGUAUUAGCUAGUUGGUGAGGUAACGGCUCACCAAGGCGACGAUACAUAGCCGACCUGAGAGGGUGAUCGGCCACACUGGGACUGAGACACGGCCCAGACUCCUACGGGAGGCAGCAGUAGGGAAUCUUCGGCAAUGGACGGAAGUCUGACCGAGCAACGCCGCGUGAGUGAAGAAGGUUUUCGGAUCGUAAAGCUCUGUUGUAAGAGAAGAACGAGUGUGAGAGGGAAAGUUCACACU
This 455-nucleotide ribosomal RNA is filed under the name Streptococcus sp. oral taxon 064. RNAcentral's name for it is "bacterial SSU rRNA". It matches the Rfam family "Bacterial small subunit ribosomal RNA", at positions 28 to 470 of the family's 1533-position model. The record is from RNAcentral. Lineage: Bacteria; Bacillati; Bacillota; Bacilli; Lactobacillales; Streptococcaceae.